GAGUUUGAUCAUGGCUCAGAUUGAACGCUGGCGGCAGGCCUAACACAUGCAAGUCGAGCGGCAGCACGGGUACUUGUACCUGGUGGCGAGCGGCGGACGGGUGAGUAAUGCCUAGGAAUCUGCCUGGUAGUGGGGGAUAACGCUCGGAAACGGACGCUAAUACCGCAUACGUCCUACGGGAGAAAGCAGGGGACCUUCGGGCCUUGCGCUAUCAGAUGAGCCUAGGUCGGAUUAGCUAGUUGGUGAGGUAAUGGCUCACCAAGGCGACGAUCCGUAACUGGUCUGAGAGGAUGAUCAGUCACACUGGAACUGAGACACGGUCCAGACUCCUACGGGAGGCAGCAGUGGGGAAUAUUGGACAAUGGGCGAAAGCCUGAUCCAGCCAUGCCGCGUGUGUGAAGAAGGUCUUCGGAUUGUAAAGCACUUUAAGUUGGGAGGAAGGGCAGUUACCUAAUACGUAUCUGUUUUGACGUUACCGACAGAAUAAGCACCGGCUAACUCUGUGCCAGCAGCCGCGGUAAUACAGAGGGUGCAAGCGUUAAUCGGAAUUUACUGGGCGUAAAGCGCGCGUAGGUGGUUUGUUAAGUUUGGAUGUGAAAUCCC
Molecule: ribosomal RNA, 603 nt
Filed under: uncultured organism
Description: bacterial SSU rRNA
Rfam family: Bacterial small subunit ribosomal RNA
Source: RNAcentral